GAGAUAGCUCAGUUCGUAGAGUAUGAAGGUCUUAAUCUCAGGGUUGUGGGUUUGAGCCCCACGUUGGACA
Molecule: non-coding RNA, 70 nt
Organism: Podarcis lilfordi (Lilford's wall lizard)
Lineage: Eukaryota; Metazoa; Chordata; Lepidosauria; Squamata; Lacertidae
Source: the annotation of a GenBank genome assembly